Molecule: ribosomal RNA, 482 nt
Filed under: uncultured bacterium
Lineage: Bacteria
Description: partial 16S ribosomal RNA
Rfam family: Bacterial small subunit ribosomal RNA
Source: RNAcentral
AUUGAACGCUGGCGGCAUGCCUUACACAUGCAAGUCGAACGGUAACAGGUCUUCGGAUGCUGACGAGUGGCGAACGGGUGAGUAAUACAUCGGAACGUGCCCGAUCGUGGGGGAUAACGAGGCGAAAGCUUUGCUAAUACCGCAUACGAUCUACGGAUGAAAGCGGGGGAUCUUCGGACCUCGCGCGGACGGAGCGGCCGAUGGCAGAUUAGGUAGUUGGUGGGAUAAAAGCUUACCAAGCCGACGAUCUGUAGCUGGUCUGAGAGGAUGAUCAGCCACACUGGGACUGAGACACGGCCCAGACUACUACGGGAGGCAGCAGUGGGGAAUGUUGGACAAUGGGCGAAAGCCUGAUCCAGCCAUGCCGCGUGCAGGAUGAAGGCCUUCGGGUUGUAAACUGCUUUUGUACGGAACGAAAAGCCUCUUUCUAAUAAAGAGGGGUCAUGACGGUACCGUAAGAGUAAGCACCGGCUAACUACGUG